UACGAAGGGGGCUAGCGUUGUUCGGAUUUACUGGGCGUAAAGCGCACGUAGGCGGUUUGUUAAGUCAGGGGUGAAAUCCCGGAGCUCAACUCCGGAACUGCCUUUGAUACUGGCAAGCUAGAGUCCGGAAGAGGUAAGUGGAACUCCUAGUGUAGAGGUGGAAUUCGUAGAUAUUAGGAAGAACACCAGUGGCGAAGGCGGCGUUACUAGGUCCGG
RNAcentral lists this ribosomal RNA (216 nucleotides) under uncultured bacterium. RNAcentral describes it as "partial 16S ribosomal RNA". It matches the Rfam family "Bacterial small subunit ribosomal RNA", at positions 524 to 737 of the family's 1533-position model. The record is from RNAcentral.